This is a long non-coding RNA of Poecilia latipinna (sailfin molly), 537 nucleotides long. RefSeq lists it as uncharacterized. The transcript is spliced from 5 exons. Lineage: Eukaryota; Metazoa; Chordata; Actinopteri; Cyprinodontiformes; Poeciliidae. The record is from RefSeq and is a predicted model, not a curated record.
UCACUUCAUCGGGGAGUUCAAGCCAAAAUACUUUGUUUACAACUUCAAAUUUCAGCAACUUGAGCAGUUCUGUUUCUCAGACUAGAUUUUUGACAUCACAACCUACAAAUGAAAGAACUUCAUCAGGUGCAAGAGACCAAGAAACUUUGAUUACAACCCAGAAUUUCAGCACCUCAAUCAGUUCUGAUUCUGGAACAAGUAAUGAGGGUUCAAAAAGGACAAAAAACUUUACUUCAUCAGAAACUACAGACCAAAACGGUUUGUCUCCUAGUCCUACAUUCAGCAGGUCAAGCAGAACUGAUCCUCAAACAAGUUAUUUGACGUCACCACCUUCAAAUGACAGCAUUUCAUCAGGAACAACAAAUGGAGAUAAUUUGUUUACAAACUCCAGUUUGAGUGAUUCAAGAAAUUCUGUGCCACCAAUAUAUUUGACAUCACCACCUACAAACAACAUUUCAUUGGGGACUGAACAGCCAGAAAGUCAAAAAACAAGCACCAGUAUCAGCAACUUGAGCAGUUCUUCUGCUCAAACAAGUC